RNAcentral lists this unclassified non-coding RNA (307 nucleotides) under plant metagenome. RNAcentral describes it as "partial contains 5.8S ribosomal RNA, internal transcribed spacer 2, and large subunit ribosomal RNA". The stretch from base 1 to 105 matches the Rfam family "5.8S ribosomal RNA", at positions 50 to 154 of the family's 154-position model. The record is from RNAcentral.
GAAAUGCGAUAAGUAGUGUGAAUUGCAGAAUUCAGUGAAUCAUCGAAUCUUUGAACGCACAUUGCGCCCUUUGGUAUUCCAAAGGGCAUGCCUGUUCGAGCGUCAUUUGUACCCUCAAGCUUUGCUUGGUGUUGGGCGUCUUGUCUCUAGCUUUGCUGGAGACUCGCCUUAAAGAAUUGGCAGCCGGCCUACUGGUUUCGGAGCGCAGCACAAGUCGCACUCUCUAUCAGCAAAGGUCUAGCAUCCAUUAAGCCUUUUUUUCAACUUUUGACCUCGGAUCAGGUAGGGAUACCCGCUGAACUUAAGC